UUGCGAUAAAGUGAUGUGAUGCGCAAGUCCACCACUUAUACGUGAAUCAUCGAGUUGUUGAACGCAUUGCACCGCGCCCUAAUCCGGCUGCGGUAUGCCCCUUUGAGCGUCAUUGUAUUCCUUCGGGAGUCUUUCCUUGCGAAAGACCCGAGUUCGGAGUCCUCGGUCUUUGGAUCGUGUUCUCUCAGAUGCGUCGCGCCGAUCGCCUGAUGGGUACUCUAAUGCCUGAGCGUGGAGUCCUUUCUGGGUUUGAGACGUGCUUGACCGGCCGUUGGGCUCGUGUCACCAAGUCCGCGUCCUUUGCGACGUCGGUACUACAACGCAUGACCUCAUCGGGGUAGGACAACCCGCUAGACUUAA
This 360-nucleotide unclassified non-coding RNA is filed under the name uncultured Tulasnella. RNAcentral's name for it is "partial contains 5.8S ribosomal RNA, internal transcribed spacer 2, and large subunit ribosomal RNA". Lineage: Eukaryota; Fungi; Basidiomycota; Agaricomycetes; Cantharellales; Tulasnellaceae. The record is from RNAcentral.